This 10102-nucleotide long non-coding RNA is filed under the name Xyrichtys novacula (pearly razorfish). The record is from RNAcentral. Lineage: Eukaryota; Metazoa; Chordata; Actinopteri; Labriformes; Labridae.
ACGAAAGAAGGAAGUUGGUUACGAAAACGUGACCGAACCUCAAAUCUGUGAUAAAAUUUACCGGUUUAAAGUAACGAAGACUUUAAUAACUUUUAAUAAGACCACGAGGAAACUGAUGCCGAUAUUUUAAAGGUCUAAAUUUGGUCAAAACUUGAUUAAAGAGUAUUUUACUGUUUUGUUUACACUCUGUGGAAUCAGUAAUGCCAAAGGAAACAAAGUUGAUCAUAUAUUGACUCUUGAUCCACUUCUUUAAACCCGAAUCGGAACAAUAACAGCGGACUGCAGAUAUUAACUGAUCCAGUGGAACAUUAGCGUUCAGGUUCCGUCAGGUUCGGGACCAGGUUUCAGGAAGAGGGUCUGUCUUCACGUGUCUUAGUGGAUAUAAAUGGACCUCCUGUGGGCACAUCGGAAGCAGAACCAUCUGUGUGAUCCAGGAUUAAAACGGGACAUGGACCCUUGGAUACCAGGACUGAGGUCAGUAAAAAUGUUCGGAUUUAACCUCCAUGUUUGACUCACCUGUGAUACACCUACUGUGAUCAUGUUGGGCUCGUGCUCGGAGGUGUGUACAGGUGUGAGUGACAUGACCCAAUCGGCUGAGAUGAGAGUUGAAACUUUCACUGUUGUAUCGUUUUUUAUUCUCCGUGUUUGUAAGAAGUCGUGACUCAAAGGUGAGAGUAAAAAUCACCUUCAACAGGUCGUUGUUGUUUCUUUAAAGUCUCACCUGAUUCCUGACAGGAAAACAUGAAAAUAUUUAGACUUUACUGUGAAUACAUAUAAUGAGUUUAAUGUUUAUUUAACUUCUAAGUUUACACGAGGACCGUUGCUAUGGAAACGCCACUUUCAUAAACUCUGAGGGACUGUUGCUUCUUUCUGACUGAGUUUCAGUUCAUUUUUAAUACAACACUGCCACCUGCUGGUCACUGAUGGAGGUUUGGAAACCCACAGACUAGUCUGAAAUCCUGUGAAACACAUUAUUAAAUCACCAGAGACAGUUUUUAUUCUGAUAGAUGAUUUCUGUGUAUGAACAUAUAUUUUUAGUUUUAUAUUGUCUCAUUCAUAAAUAUCUUUACAGAUUAUUCGUAAUUGUUUUUUGCUGCAGUUUUCUCCUCAGUCUUUAGAAAUAUUCUCAAUGACAAGUUUUUAAUCACACCUCAUCUUUCCCAGAACUUUAAUUUUAUAUGUUUUAUUUUAAAUCUGAUUUUUAAUCCACAAAGUUUCUUCUUGUGUCACUUUAUAAAUGAAAUACUGAAUCUGUUGGACUCUGAUGAGACAGGCACCAAUAUCCAUACUUCAGUAAGUAAGUAAACUUGAUUUUUAUAGCACUUUUCACAGACAAAGUGCUUCACAUAGACAAGAAUAAAAAUGUACAUACAAAUUAAAAGGCAGAGACAACAACAUUAAACAGUCAUAGCAGCUCCAAAAACAAUUAAACAAAGGCCUGAGCAAAUAAAUCAGUUUUGAGUUGGCUUUUAAAGGAGUCAACUUCAUUCAUUAUAUUGUAGGGACAUCAAUAAUUAUAAUAUUACUAAAAAUAAAAAAAAUAUGUGUAAUAAUAAUGAUAAAAAUAAUAAAGAGUGUAAGUGUCUUAAAAAUUAAAAGUAAAUCACUGCAAAUUAAAAAUAUAGAUGCAGAAAUAUACAACAAUGAAACCUGCUUAUUUAUUUUCAGUUAUUUGAUAUUUUUUUUCCUCUUCAUAAAUGUAUUUAUUGACUCUUCAAUAAAUACUCAGUAAUAAAUUAACUGUAUUAGAAAUGUUCUCAUAACAUCUUUUUUCUUUACAAUAUUUUUUGCGUACUUUAAUCUUUUUUUUUCCUUUUUCAGACAAAUUAUGUGAGACAACAGACAAUUAAAUUUCCCUUUGGGGAUUAAUAAAGUUAUUCUUAUUCUUAUUCUUAUUUAGUAAAAUAUUUAAUAUGCAACAAAAAACAAAUGCUCUUUAAAAUUAAAAAUAAACGCAAGAAAUAAGAAAAUGAGCACGCACUAAAUUAUAAAUGAUAGAUUAUUAUUACAGCUGAGACAUUUUAAUGUUAGCUCUGUGGCUGCAGUUCGUCUUUCAGCCACCAGGUGUCGUCUGUGAGUCAGUUCCUCUUCCACUCUCCUGCGAAAAACUUCUCGACAUAUAAAAAUGUUCACAGUCGGACUUUCAGCUGCUACAGUUCUCUAAACUAAGACCAGAACUUCUCAGUGAAGUCUCUGUGUUUUAUUUAUUUGAGUUUUCUGUCUGAAUGUUGAACUCUGAUGUAGUUUUAAGAGUUUCAGAGGAUCACUGAUAUUCAGGAGUGUGUGAGGCGUUCACCCCUCAGGGUGGAUCAGCAGCACAUUUCAGACUAACAGAACAGGCUUUGAAUUACAUAUUGAUUAAUUUAUUAUUAUUAAUAAUUAUUGAUAAUUGAAACAUUGAAUUUAUUGAAUAACCGUGAAAAAUAUCUGUUAUUCUGUUAUCUUUAAAGUGAGUGAAGCAGUUACAUGAGUAAAAGUAUGAUUCAAAUGUAUAACUGUAUUUUUCUUCAGUCACAUUAUUUAACAUUUAUGUCACAUUUAAAACCCACUAUAUUAAAGUCCAUGUAACCUAAAUUUAUAUUAUUAUUAAACAGUCACGUCUCAGACUCAUUAGAAUUUAUUUUGGACUUACUUUUGUUAGACUUUUUAAAAGUCACCCUGUAGAAAUUUUCUGAUUUAUUAUUUUUUUUCUGCUUUCUUCAUUAGUACACGUCCAAUUUUCAUUUUUUUAUUUUGGCUAAUCAGUGCGACAAACUCAGCUGCAUAUGUGUGAUAUUUGAGUUUUGUUAUUACACUUGAACUUUGACAGUUUUUAAUCAACAAAAAUGUGCAUUAAAUGUCAUUUAUUUUCCAGAAACAGAGGUGGAACCACAAAAUCUAAUACAAGUUUGCAGCGUGCUCACAAGAAUUAAAGUAGGAAUCUGAAGAGUAGGAAAAUAAAACAACUCAUGAAUCCAAAACAAUUUGAUUUUUUGAAUUUAAGAAAAUUAAAAAUUAAUUCACAAAAUUUCUAGAGACAGAAAAUCAGGCUCUGAGUGAAAAUAUGAGCUUAUUGUUGUUUUUUUUUUCAAAGAUAAAAUAUGUUUUUCAAGGAUUAACUGAAGAUCAUUGUAGUUGUAUUUUUCACCAGCAGAGGGCGCAGCGGUGCAGAGUCCAUCUGAAGUUAAAGAACAUGGGGUAGAGUACAGUAAACUGAUUUAUAACUCAUGUUUUACGUUUUUUCAGAUCUAUUAUUCAUUAUUUUAUAAAGGCAUAAUUAUUUUAAUAUUUAAUCUGAGUGUUUAAAAAUGAACUUUGUUUAACUCUGUCGUAAAUUUCUUCAUGUCUUUUUCUAUUUCUUCAGUGUUUAAAAUACAGGUUAACUUUUGGCAGUUCACUUCAAUUGAUGAACAUAAAGGGGGCUAAAAUUGGGUCUUAUAAUCUGUAUAAUAAUAUUUUGAUAUGCUAUAAACUAGACUCCUUACUUUUCUGUAGUUAUUAAGAUAAUUUUCCUGUCUUUUCUUUGCUUUUGUUCUCUUUUAUUUCUUUGCUUCUGUUUUUUUAUUUCUGAAAAUUUGACAGUUUUAAGAUUUAUUUUUUUAUUUUGUUUUAUGCUUAAAAACAAAAUUUAAAAUAACGUCAAAAAAACAAACAAAUAACAAAAAAUAACUUUGAGUGAGUUUUUAACAAUCCAACUCAAAUAAAUAGAUAAAGUUAAAGUCUGACAAACCAUGAAACACACACUAGCGCGCACACACACACACACACACACACACACACACACACACACACACACACACACACACACACACAGAGUAAGCUGUAAUCCGUCUCACAGAGGUGAACAUUUAGGAUCUGUGACGGUGUGAUCAAUAAUUAUGAUCAGUCUGAGUGACACGACCUUGCAUGUGCAUCAUUACACACACCUCUUAAUGUGUGUGUGUAACAGAGGUGCUGUUAAUAUUGACUUGUGUAAUUGUGUGUAUUAUUCUCAGUGAGUCUCUAUAAUCACCUAAACUGAGGAAUUAUGGGACUUUUGACUUAAACCCUCAUUCCUGGGAGAUUUUCUCUGGUUAUAUAAACGAGUUCGGUCACUUAGACUUUACUUUAUCUCCACCGAUGAGAUUUAAACAAUAAUUAGUUUCAGAUGGAAUUAAAAAUGAGUCAGUUAUCUUUGAGGCGUCACAGACUUUCCUUUUUUAAGGAUCUGUAAUAAAAACUCAACAUUUUAAAACUUAAAGCCAGCGCAGCAGAGGCGAAUCCAAGAGGUGGUCAUGGCCCUUAAAGUCUAAUCGGCCCCCCUGAUGGAAACUCCAAAACCCUAAACUACAGUAUCUGUCUGGCCAUGUCAGAGGUCAGACUCAUGUUUAAGGGAUAGCAGCCGCUUGUUUGUAGCAAGACCUCAGGCCAGUCCGUUACAGACUACAGUGGGGUGACACAGCUCAAGGAAGAACAUUUAUGAUCAUUUCCUGGAAGUAAUAAUCAACAUAUCAAUCAAUUUUCACUGCAGACGCGGUAGUUCUUCUGCCUUAGCGUCUCGGUCUGAUUGUAUUUCCAUGAAGAAAUUAUCAGAAAUGUUCCUCCUUGAGCUGCAGCACCCCGCUGUAGUCCGUAAAGGACUGGCCUGAAGUCUCGCUACAAACAUCGGCUGCUGGAAGAGAGUAGGUGAGUUGUGUUUAGUCUCUUUGCUAAAGAAAUGAGUCAAAGUUAAAAAUUUGUUUGGUGUCUAGUACUAUGGCUGUGACCCUAUAUGUACUAACCUCAGUAGAUCAUGGUGUAGUUCCGUUCAGUAAGAGAACCUCAUUGGAAAAUUAGCUGAUUUAACUUUACUGUGCUCUUGUUCAAAUAUACUAACUGGACAGCACAUAUAUCUAUACCUGUUAACAAAAUCCAGAUUUUAUUGAUAAAUCGGCUCAAUAAAAACACCUUUACCUUUUCAUUUUACUACAGCAACAUUCAUCUCUGGAGUGGGUGUCUAACUCAGGUGUGUUUGACCCUAACUUAAUUUUACGCCGGAAUAUCCCUUUAACAGCACUGAUGGCCUUAGUCUCUCUGUCCGACGACCUUGGUUGAAAAUUAAAGACAAAACAAAGAUCCAAUAACUGCAGUUCCUUGAGUGUCCACUAGAGGCUGACUCCUAAAAUGAGUGACCUCCCAUAGAGCUCCAUGUUAAAAUGUUUACAGCCUGGUAUAAAAGUUAUUCUGGUUACUUCUGCUCAUGACAGCUGUUAAUAAAGUAUGAUGUAACAUAAUCAGGGGUGUGGCCUCUUAGAGUGACAGGUGGGAGCUGCUACAUGUCAUCUCAGCUGAUUGAGUCAGUCUGUGGGUGUGUCAGUGGAGUUUUUUCCACAUAAAUAUAUCUAACAGUCCAGUUUCAGCUCUCUGUGAAAUCCUCGCUUCAUUUCUUAUUUUUAUGUCGUUGCUAAUUAGCAGCUUUCUGUGUCUGAGCUCACUGCCGCUGACCUGAGUCUGAUUUAUCUCAAAGUCUGUUUUUCACCAGGUCAGGCUGAAAGGUAGAAACAUGAAACGGUUUAAAGGGUGAGGAUGAAGAGAGGGACGGUACAGUGUGGGGGGAGGAAGGUUUUAAGAGGGUGAUGGAGGGAUGAGACGCAGAGAGAGAGAGAGAGAUUUUCAUCUGUAGCAGAGAGGGCUCCUCAUUUUUCCUCCCGACCUUACAGUGACCUGACAUGGAUGGAGAGAAAAGGAGAGAGAGAGAGAGAGAGAGAGAGAGAGAGAGAUCAGGGUAGUUAUUGUUUGUCAUUUUUCCUCCCCAAUUUCCAGCCUAAUGAAGACACUCAUUGGCUGAAGAGGAAUCAGAGGGAGAAGGUGUGUGUGUGUGUGUGUGUGUUCGUCCUACACAGGUUACCAUGACAACACAUGUGAUGUCAUGUGUUAGCCUUGGGUAGAAGGUGACUGUGUUUGUGUGUACGUUCAUACUGCUGCACGUGUGUGAGCCAAAGUUUCUGAUUCGACCUUUUUAUCCGAUUUAUCUUCGACUGAAAUCUCCCAGAUUAAAAUAUAAUCCUGCUGAUUACAUAAGAUUCAACACUAUAAGACACAAUAGCAGCAUAAUGACAGUGUGAGAGUAAAGAAUAGGAAAUAACCAUGAAGUCGUGUUUACUAAGUUUAGAUAACAAGACAAAACACUGCGAUACAAAACGACAGGAGUGUAAUUAGAAAAGAUCAAACAGAAUAUAAGACAGUCAUGUGACACACGACUGUUCAACACAACAACAUGAUAGGGAAUAUGGUGUAAUUAUUACUGUAUGAUAUGAUACUUUACAGUGUGAUAUAAUUGGUUAAAUAUGAUAUGAUUGAAUCCAAUAUGAUACUAUAAGAUACAAGACGAGACAGUAUGAUAUUUGAUGUGAUUGGAUACAAAGCUACAUGAUAUCAACAAUAGGAUACAAGACUAAACUAUGCAUUAAGAUAUGAUGUGAAAUGAUACGACACAGUAUUGUUCAGUGAUAUAAUAGCUUGAUGAAGUUCAACAUAAUAUCAGUUAAUAGAUGAACAUGUAAUUUUACUCACUAAGACCUGACUCUGACUCUUCAUGAUGAUAUCAGCUGUUUGCCUCAUUGACUUCCAUUAAUCUCCAUGUUAUUGAUUUAGGUACAGUUAAAUAUUACAUGAUAGACUAUCGUACAGUCUGAUGGAUUUAGUAUCACCGAACUCUGAGUUGCUUAAUCUGAUCUAAUCUGAAAAACACCUUUCAGUCCAGUAUGUAGAGCGCUCAGUGAGGUCUGUUAAAGCAGCAUGGGUGACGCUUUAUGGAUCAGUUUUUAUAUUUAGUUUUUAGUUUUUGUUUUUUAUCUAUACUUUUGUAAUUUUUGUUUAAAAAUUUUUUUUUGGUUUAUUAUCUUCAGUUUUUAAUUUUAUUUAUUUAUUUUUUAUCUUUUAAUUGUUUAAUUUUUAUGGUUUAUCUUUAAAUUUAAAUUUUUUUAUUUUUUAUCUUGAAUUUGAUUUUUUAUCUUUAGUUUUUUUAUAUUUACUUUUUUUUUAGGUUUUAUCUACAUUUUUUUUAUUUUUGUUUUUGAUUUAUCAUUAGUUUUUUUUAUUUACUGUUUUUAUUUUUAAUUUUUUUUAUCUUUAGUGUUUUAUCUUUAGUUUUUAUUUUUUGUGUUUUUAUUCCAAAUUUACUACAUUAAUUUUGUUUAUCUUUAUCUUUUUUUAUAUUUAUUUUUUUUAUUUUUAGUUUGUUACCUUUAGUUCUAUAAUCUCAGUCUCUCUUAUGUCGUCAUAUUUCUGUCAGGUAUUGUUUAAUUAAAUUUAGGGUUGUCUACACUUUUUCUAUCAUUCCUCUUCCUCCCUCUUGUUAAUUUGUUAAUCCUUUCCUCUCUUUUUUUUCCAAAUCCUAACAGACUUGUUGUUUUUUUUUCUUUUUCUACCUUUUUCAUCUUUUUUUAUAUUUCCAUCGUCAUGUUUCUUCUCUGUGAGCUGGAGCGACCAGAAGGUGCUCAUUUGGUUUAUCUGCACACACACUAACACAUUUAAUGCAUGGCAGCAUGCUGCGCUGCAUGCCCCCAGGGUGUGUGUGUGUGUGUGUGUGUGUGUGUGUGUGUGUGAUGGAGAAUAGGAAGCGAGUCGUUGCCCUGCUGUUGAACCCUCUACGUUUCUGCCCUCCUCUUCCAUCUCUCUGUCGUUGCUGAUGUACGCCGCUCGUUGAACGGCGCCUGAAACCCUUCCUUCCUCUCAGAUCCAUUUCCAAACAUCAGAAUAAACUGGAGGAAUAAAGAGAAGUGCUUUUGUUGACUGUGUUUGGGUUCGUCUCUGCUGAUAAGACGUCUUCAUGUUCGUGUCUCAGCGAUAGAGAUCAGCGUGUCGAUAUGCAUCUGUUAAUGUUGACACGCUGCCAAUAAAGUUGGUUCAACGCCGACAUAACGCUCUUGUUUGUAUCUUAAACUAUGCAUCCAGACUUCUACGGUGGCCCUGAGGGGAGAAAAAACAACAACGCUUCAAAACUCAGUUGUGUACGUUUGGACUUAUCUGUGUCUGGAUGAGUUUGUCGGUAUCGACUCUGAACUCUGAACCAAUCAGGCGUCACGUACUUUACAACAAUUAAAGGGAAGUUCCGCUUUAAUCAGUCCCUCCAGGCGAAGACGGGUCAAAGUCGGUCUGUUGAUUAUUUAUACGUUUGUUUUGAGUUUUAAUAUAAAUCAGAUAUUUUUCAUUAUUCCUUAAAAAGCUUCAAAUCAAAAAGACACUAAACGUCUGUGAGCUGCGGCGAACAAUAACCUUAAACCAACGUGAGUUUCCUUUUGAUCCGCUCCAUACAACAGACGACGAGGCGACCUUUGACCCCACGCUGCAGAGGACUGAGUUUGACCCCAGACUGACCGCGCUGUGACCCCACAGGACAGGAAGUGAAGACGGCGUUCAUGUAGGUCUGAAUGUGUGUCUCUGUGAGGAGCAGGACGGAGAUCAGGGAGGACGGCGGCGGAGGUUAGGGCGUUAAGAUGGCCGACGGGGUCUAAGAUGGCUGCUGUGGAGGCGAAGGGGGCGCAGUGGGGACGUCUCAUAUCGUCUUUAUGUCGUUGCGUUUCUUUGCAUCUUCAGAGGGAGGGGUUAGGACGUAAAGACGGGAGGAAAGCGUGGGAAGCAGCUUCACAAACACACGUGAAUUUUCUGACUUUUACCUGCUGCGUCAGCUCGCCACGACGUCUGUCCGACUCUCCUCCUCCUCCUCCUCUUCCUCCUCUCAUUGUUUCUAACAGCAAAUAUCCACACUCUGAAAAAAGCAGCAGCUGCUCUCUCACUGACGCUCGGUCCUGAUUCUGUCGCUUCACAGUCAGGAUAUUAAAACCUCUGUGAGAAUUUUCAGACUAAAAUAAAUCAGCUCAUUAAUUUUUACUUUUAUUUGUCUUUAAACUAAAUUAAAACAUCCAGUUUUCAACUAAAGACGUGACAGUUUCUGUGUAAUCUGUGUCUUUAUUUUAUUUUAUUUCAUUGUAUUUAUUUAUUUAUCACAGAUUAAAAACAGAGCGAGGAGGAAAUGAAGCCGAUGGGAGUUUACAGAGGUCCACUCCCGUCAGGUCAGUGAAGGCGUAGGGUGACAAAGUAACUCAGACAUAGACGGGUUAUAAAUAUACAAUGAUUAGGGAAAGGUCAAACAGACACAAAUUUUCAUAAAUAAAACACAAACUAAUCAUCAAACAGCGUUAGAGACGAUCUAAGUAUUUAUAAAAAGGAAGGAAACAUGAUCAUAACAGAUAAUGACGUAUUUAAGACGUGAUCAGAUGAGAUUUUAAAGAUAUUUUUAAGGAUUUGAAGGAUGAUAUUGAUUUUAAAGAUGAAUCCAGAUUAUUCCACAGUUUCAGACCUCUAAAAGUGAAAUUAGACUGAUGACUAGAAGUUCGACAUGAAGGUAACUGAAGAUGGUCAUUUUGUCUUGUUUGUCGUUUUCUCCGUAAAUAAAAUCUAGGAUGAGUUCAUGGUUGUUUGUUUUUCUGCAGAGAAAGUCCGACAUGAUGCAAAGAUGUCUCUGAGUGAACACAGACGGUUUAAAACCAGCUCUGAUUCGAGGCGUGGGUCUGUCGGUCGUCUUUACGGUGAAACCCUCGAGUUUAAAUCUAGAUUACGUCCCUCUGAGCUCUAAUUUAAUCUGGAAUAAUCUCAUUUACCGAAAUCUGAUCCUAUUAUUUGAAAAAGUUGAUCAUAAGAUCAUCAAACAUGUUAAAUUUGUCUCCUCAGAUUGUGGAUUUAUCGUAUUAAAGAGCCGCGCCGUCCUCCUGACCCCGGACUGAACCUGCAGCCUGGGAGCCGACCUCAGGCUGAACCGGGCUGGGGUCAGAGGUCAGGGUUGAAGGCCGGGUCUGUGAGCCUGAUCAGAGGGUGCAGAGGUGAAGGCCGGGUCAGAGUCCUGAGGGGGAGAAGAUGAGUAUCCUGCUGGACAAACUGAGGUACUGCAGCUGAGAGGACGGAUCAGAGCGAAUAGAAGCUGCAGGGUCUGAGUUUCUAUAACAACAAUAAACAAACACAUGAUUGAUCAUUUAAUAUUGAUCAUAUUUACAUUAUUAACGUUUGUGUUCAGAGAAAAAAAUCAUCUUUGGUUCAGAACAAUAAUCUCACACUAAAGAUGAAAAAUGAUUUUAGUAAAACUGAAGAAUUAAAGAGUAAAAACAUG